This 149-nucleotide unclassified non-coding RNA is filed under the name uncultured Mycosphaerella. RNAcentral's name for it is "sequence contains ITS1". Lineage: Eukaryota; Fungi; Ascomycota; Dothideomycetes; Mycosphaerellales; Mycosphaerellaceae. The record is from RNAcentral.
AAAGAGAUGGCGGGCCUCGCUGCCCCCGUCCCUCACCCUUUGUUGACCGAAAAACCUUUUUGCCUCGGGGGCCGUGUGGCCACGGCCGCCGCUCCCAGAGGACCAACCAACGCUGUCUCUGUGUGUCGGAGUACAUGAUUGAAUAAUCA